CAGAGAUGUUGCUAGCCCAAUGAUCAGCCUUGCUACAUGUCUCUCAUACCAUGAGGCUGAAUUAUUAAAUGGGCCAGAAUAAAUAUUAUUGUUGCAAGCCCAAACAAAUGCUUUCUUAUGUGCUCUAUGCUUGAUUCGAAACAAAUUUUAUCAGGAAAGCAAAUGUUAUUAAUUGGGCCAGCUUUAA
Arachis ipaensis is the source of this 187-nucleotide non-coding RNA. The record is from RefSeq and is a predicted model, not a curated record. NCBI's taxonomy places the organism in Eukaryota, Viridiplantae, Streptophyta, Magnoliopsida, Fabales, Fabaceae.